CCUCACAUCAAGAGCCCUGAAAUGCCACCACCCAAGAAACGCAGACAACGGCCUUUGGUGGAAAUGCCGGAAGAAGUCGGCGCUAUGAGGCCUUCCUCCCAAGGUAAAGCUGCAAAGAAGAAAAAACCCUGGCAGCCGACAGAGGUCCAGGCAGUCGAGAGGCACAUGACUCGCUUCAUCACCUCUUGCAUUGUACCUGGGAAGAGUGAUUGUGAGAAAUGUUUAAGGGUUGAACCAGAAGCACUACAGAACCGGGAUUGGCAGAACCUUAAAUUCUACAUUCAUAACCGAAUUAAGUCCUACAAAAAGAAGUGGCAAUGAAAAUAGUUUAUACAUUGCAUGUAUAAUGUAUAAUAUUAUACAUUAUACAUGUAUAAUAAUUUUUAAUUAUUAUACAUGUAUAUAUAUCCACGUAAUUUAAACAUGAGUCUGAAAGAAGUUUAAUUAUUAUAGAUUUAAAUUUCAGGUAGUCGUUCAGUACUAUCAUUUUGCUCAGAAAGGCCAAAAAGGGCAUAAUUUUAAAAGAAUAUGGUGACGUUUCUACCUUGAUUCUGUAUUUCUAGAUGCUUUGUAUCCAACAAAUCUUGUUGAAGGGCCAAUAAAAGCCCAAAAAUGAGUGAGACCUCAAUAAAAGUUUACUUUUGCAAUUUAAA
Gadus morhua (Atlantic cod) is the source of this 653-nucleotide long non-coding RNA. RefSeq lists it as uncharacterized. The record is from RefSeq and is a predicted model, not a curated record. The transcript has 2 exons. NCBI's taxonomy places the organism in Eukaryota, Metazoa, Chordata, Actinopteri, Gadiformes, Gadidae.